UCCCAUCCUGGACUGCCCCACCCCACAGACACACCAGGACAAUGCACAGCCACCCACAGCAGAGGCUCUCACCCCACACCCCCUUGCACCAGAGGAGCUCAGCCAUGCAGGGAGGGGUGCAAUGGCACAGCUCAGCUUCCUCCGAAGCAGAACCCACAUCUGGACAGCUGUGCCCAAAAGGGAGUCUGAGGGCCAGGGCAGCCACCAGCCCAGCAACAUCAGCCUUGUGUCCAUCCUGCAGCACCUUGCAUCACCUCACUGGACUGGACAGCCCAGCCUGCCCACUCCUGCUGGCCUCUGCCCACACAGCUCCACCACUGUGACCACGGAGAGGAGGGAGCCUGGAAAGAAACCACUGUGGCCAUGGAGAGGCUGGAAAGCAGCCACACUCUGCCUCAACUCCUUUCCCAGGCAGGCAGAGCAUCUUGGCUUCCCAGAAAAGUUGCUAGUUCAGAGCAAAAUGUCUGUGGGGUCAGUGGCUGCACCAGAUGAGUGGGAGUGGGGAUAGG
This 509-nucleotide long non-coding RNA is filed under the name Chloebia gouldiae (Gouldian finch). RNAcentral describes it as "Erythrura gouldiae (Gouldian finch) lncRNA (ENSEGOG00005004188.1)". The record is from RNAcentral. Lineage: Eukaryota; Metazoa; Chordata; Aves; Passeriformes; Passeridae.